ACGGAGGGUGCGAGCGUUAAUCGGAAUCACUGGGCGUAAAGCGCACGUAGGCGGUGUCGUAAGUCGGAUGUGAAAGCCCUCGGCUCAACCGGGGAACUGCAUUCGAUACUGCGAUGCUUGAGUGCCGUAGAGGUUGGCGGAAUUCCAGGUGUAGGGGUGAAAUCCGUAGAUAUCGGGAGGAACACCAGUGGCGAAGGCGGCUAACUGGGCUGUAACUGACGCUGAGGUGCGAAAGCGUGGGGAUCAAACAG
Molecule: ribosomal RNA, 251 nt
Filed under: uncultured prokaryote
Description: partial 16S rRNA
Rfam family: Bacterial small subunit ribosomal RNA
Source: RNAcentral